AAGCUAUUAGUUAAAAUAUAACAUAGAGACGUCAUCUCUAAAUUACACAAGUAUAGUUUU
RNAcentral lists this transfer RNA (60 nucleotides) under Halotydeus destructor. RNAcentral's name for it is "tRNA-Asp". The record is from RNAcentral. Lineage: Eukaryota; Metazoa; Arthropoda; Arachnida; Trombidiformes; Penthaleidae.